This 93-nucleotide small RNA is filed under the name Lactobacillus acetotolerans. Its description in RNAcentral is "RNA anti-toxin A". It matches the Rfam family "RNA anti-toxin A". Lineage: Bacteria; Bacillati; Bacillota; Bacilli; Lactobacillales; Lactobacillaceae. The record is from Rfam by way of RNAcentral.
UUAUGAUAAAAUACAAGAAGAAGUCCUGUGAAUAACAGAACUUCCCAUGUAGAGCCGUAAAAGACGGUGACUAAACAUUAUAACGACAAAUAA